UGGUGAUUAUUGCUAUAGGAAACACCUCUUCCCAUGCCGAACAGAGAAGUUAAGCCUAUAAGCGCCGAUGGUACUGCUAAGGUGGGAGAGUAGGUCGUUGCCAACAA
This 107-nucleotide ribosomal RNA is filed under the name uncultured Sphingobacteriia bacterium. The record is from RNAcentral. Lineage: Bacteria; Pseudomonadati; Bacteroidota; Sphingobacteriia.